GGCGUAGGCGGUCCUUCAAGUCGGAUGUGAAAUCUCCCGGCUCAACCGGGAGGGGCCAUUCGAAACUGCUGGGCUGGAGGGUAGCAGAGGAAAGCGGAAUUCCCGGUGUAGUGGUGAAAUGCGUAGAUAUCGGGAGGAACACCAGUGGCGAAGGCGGCUUUCUAGGCUAUUUCUGACGCUGAGGCCCGAAAGUGUGGGGAGCGAACAG
This 208-nucleotide ribosomal RNA is filed under the name uncultured bacterium. Its description in RNAcentral is "partial 16S ribosomal RNA". It matches the Rfam family "Bacterial small subunit ribosomal RNA", at positions 568 to 775 of the family's 1533-position model. The record is from RNAcentral.